GCGAACUGAUUAGAAGCUUGCUUCUAUGACGUUAGCGGCGGACGGGUGAGUAACACGUGGGCAACCUGCCUGUAAGACUGGGAUAACUCCGGGAAACCGGAGCUAAUACCGGAUAACAUUUUUUCUUGCAUAAGAGAAAAUUGAAAGAUGGUUUCGGCUAUCACUUACAGAUGGGCCCGCGGUGCAUUAGCUAGUUGGUGAGGUAACGGCUCACCAAGGCAACGAUGCAUAGCCGACCUGAGAGGGUGAUCGGCCACACUGGGACUGAGACACGGCCCAGACUCCUACGGGAGGCAGCAGUAGGGAAUCUUCCGCAAUGGACGAAAGUCUGACGGAGCAACGCCGCGUGAGUGAUGAAGGCUUUCGGGUCGUAAAACUCUGUUGUUAGGGAAGAACAAGUACAAGAGUAACUGCUUGUACCUUGACGGUACCUAACCAGAAAGCCACGGCUAACUACGUGCCAGCAGCCGCGGUAAUACGUAGGUGGCAAGCGUUAUCCGGAAUUAUUGGGCGUAAAGCGCGCGCAGGCGGUUUCUUAAGUCUGAUGUGAAAGCCCACGGCUCAACCGUGGAGGGUCAUUGGAAACUGGGGAACUUGAGUGCAGAAGAGAAAAGCGGAAUUCCACGUGUAGCGGUGAAAUGCGUAGAGAUGUGGAGGACACCAGUGGCGAAGCGGCUUUUUGGUCUGUAACUGACGCUGAGCGCGAAGCGUGGGGAGCAAACAGAUUAGAUACCCUGG
Molecule: ribosomal RNA, 738 nt
Filed under: Bacillus sp. NTRP03
Lineage: Bacteria; Bacillati; Bacillota; Bacilli; Caryophanales; Bacillaceae
Description: bacterial SSU rRNA
Rfam family: Bacterial small subunit ribosomal RNA
Source: RNAcentral